CAUUCCCAGCAAAGCACAGCUGAGGCGCCAUUGGCUUUGUGAGUUUGGAUUCCCCAUCAUCCAUUCCUCACAAGCUUCUUUCUGGGCCUACCGUGAGUCUUCAGCCUGUACCUGUCUGGAGUUCACUUGAGGGUGGAGUCUCUCUUCUCUCUCGGGAUCCCCCUUCAUUAUUUCUGGUGUCUCCCUCCGCUCUCAUACUUCAUUAAUCACUUUGGAAUUCUACAUAAUAAAUGGCCAGCUUGCUUCAGAAGAUGGAGAUGUGGAUCUGCGCAUGUACGGAACAGUGACGGUCCACACUGGAGGGAGAAAGCUGCCUCAGAGCUUGGACCUCAGUGGUCAAGAAUUUCUCAUCCACUCAUGGAGCUGCUUUGAGGAUCAAGAGAGAUAAUACACCUUAACGUGUUUGGGGUAAGUAUAAAGCACUUUCUAAAUAGAAGGCAUUAUUAAAAGACAUCUCACUUGUAAUUUCUGCUUCCACUA
Molecule: long non-coding RNA, 480 nt
Filed under: Rattus norvegicus (Norway rat)
Lineage: Eukaryota; Metazoa; Chordata; Mammalia; Rodentia; Muridae
Description: long non-coding RNA NONRATT015610
Source: RNAcentral